ACUCACGUGAAUGCAGAUUAAAGUAAUUUCAUGCUCGGCUUGGCUUAUUUCCAAUAAUAAUGUCACUCAAUUCUCGCACAAUUAAUCGAAGCCUAUUAAUAGUAAGUCGCUUAUAAAUAAUGACAGAAUCAGAUGCUGCCACGACCGGACGGCGAUCCCAAAAAUUCAACUUUAUAAAUGACAAUGACAUCGAAAUAUUCUAUGGAAGAGUCACGCGAUAAUUGCUCCAACCGGAAGGAAGCCUCGCACGCUACGCUCGCCGGAAGUUACUUCCGUGUUGUCGAUAAUAAACAAAAAUCCUCCUCUCGUACUCGAUCAUUAGCAUUCGACUAUGAAUAAAGUUACAAUUUUUUUUAGAAACGAAUGUUUUUUCAAAGGCAGCAAACCAGAGACGGUUUUGAAAGAGCAGGAAAAAAUCAUUUUUCUAUCCACACGAACUGAACAAUUUUUCUGCACCAAAGUCUUCAUGAGUCUCGGAACCUCUCUGUAAAUUUAAUCGAAAGGUUCUUCAAAAAUUAAGGACCCGUAUUUCGACAUCGUGAGUGUCCUAACAACAUAUGCGCGCACGUUUUUACCGAGGGCAGGGGAGCGAGGGGAAUUCGGUAAGAGACAAACGAGACGAACUCGACUCGUCGAGAACUGUGUAAUGGAGUAACAUCAGUACCAAUGAUGACCGACGGGGAAUGGUCAAUUUUAUAAAUCAUAUAAUGAGAAUUGGCUCUGUGUGCUGGAUGCGAUAUGGCGACAUGCGGGUGGCCGUUACACAUGCGUUACGCUUUAAUGGUCGAACGAGAGAGAAGGACCCUCGAGACGAGCGAGCGAUAGGGACCCUUCAGGUUCGCCAUCUCGAAACGAACCGCUUGAGAAACUCUGCAGGCCCCCGAGGAUCGAAAAAUAGGAAUCGAUAUCCAAAAAUCUAUGAGACCGUAACUGUUUGGAAUUUCCCACGAUGGAUUGGAGCUGGGAAGGCUUGAGAGGUUGGGGAUCGAUUAACCGAGGUCGCUUUUGAUCGACGAAAAAUGGCGAGCCGGAAAGCCAAUUCGGUUGAAAACCGUUGUAGAAAUCUUCGAAAAAUUGCUGAAAUACGAAUCCGAGGAAUUUCGUUUCAAUAAUUUCUCGAAUGUGCGAGUUUUAUGAGCCCUCGAAAAAGGCGAAUGGGAUUGGGACACGAUCGCGUUUGGAAAGAUGGAAAAGAAGACGCCGGAGUUCUCGUGAUUGCGAGUCGUUCGUCGUCCACCCGAGCGUUUGUACGUCCCUACACACGAUGUACGUAACAGAGAAAGAAA
This is a long non-coding RNA of Venturia canescens, 1286 nucleotides long. RefSeq lists it as uncharacterized. The record is from RefSeq and is a predicted model, not a curated record. NCBI's taxonomy places the organism in Eukaryota, Metazoa, Arthropoda, Insecta, Hymenoptera, Ichneumonidae. The transcript has 2 exons.